Long non-coding RNA from Sinocyclocheilus rhinocerous, 884 nucleotides. RefSeq lists it as uncharacterized. NCBI's taxonomy places the organism in Eukaryota, Metazoa, Chordata, Actinopteri, Cypriniformes, Cyprinidae. The transcript is spliced from 3 exons. The record is from RefSeq and is a predicted model, not a curated record.
CCAAUAAACACCAAAGAAGAAGAAGAAGUGUGCGAGCACGAGCACUUGUGCCACCGUGGGCAUUUUCAAAAGAUUUUUGCGUGCUUUUUGCUGAUGGUUUGUUAAGGUAACAAAAACAAUUGUUUUCGGCUGUAAGUUAUUUACUUCCACAGUCUAUAAAUAUGUAAGCAUAACACUGUAAUGGUAAUGUUUAAAGUGUUGUCAGGUGGCAAUUGAAGCAAAAUAAACCCUUUGAAAUUAGCCGCGAAAUUAACUUGUCUCAUUCUGAAGGGACAUAAAACAUGAUGGCGCAAGCAACCACGAAGAAGGAAGAUAUUCAUUCUGUAUAUUACGAAACACUGAAGAUAAUACCACCGCAAUAGAUUCUGUAUGUAAUUGAUUUUAUUCUACAUUGAGGACACUUUAUAAAACCUACAGAGGAUGGUACCCAGCGGCCUUCACUAACAUGACGCAGUUUGAAAUUCUGACCGUAAACGGUCAUCUGACAGACGGACGGAUGGGUGCUAAGCCAAAGGCAUAUGCUAAGAACACACUUAAGCAGAAGUGUCAACGCAGGACUAUUUAAUGGAUUAUGCAUUCUUUUGUGUGGUCGAAUUGUGGUCACCGUAGCCACCUGGACCCAGUCUGUAUCCAUAUCAGAUGGUCACUGCAGUCACCUGGAUCCAGUCCAGAUGGUGGAGACAACUCUACAGCCUUGAAUGUCAGCAGAGACCAUGUCAACUAAUUGAGCCCCAAAGACAGAUCCCCAGUGAAGGCCUCAUCAACUAUACGGCCAUUGGCACAAAACCUCAACAAAGACCACGAUGAAAAACACCAUGUUGGUUCAUCUGGCCAGAGGAGAACUGGCCCCCCGACUGAGCCUGGUUUCUACCAAGUUUUUUUCU